Molecule: long non-coding RNA, 2396 nt
Organism: Astyanax mexicanus (Mexican tetra)
Lineage: Eukaryota; Metazoa; Chordata; Actinopteri; Characiformes; Acestrorhamphidae
Exons: 2
Source: RefSeq, a predicted model, not a curated record
CGAUGUUAAGAAACAGUAAAUAUUAAUAUUAAAGGUAUUUUUCAGCUGAUCAGACAAAAUGACAUUUAAUCCAAAAACCUGAUUAUGAUUAAGAGAAUGAAGUGUCAUGUGAGUGAUCUUGUUUGGGCUGACUCAAGUGUCUGAAACUAGUGAGUUGUUUCUGGAUAUUUGACCUGAACUGUGUAUGUGGGUGAGUGUGCAAAGGACAGUUAGGCUGACACCCUAAAACUGAAUGUCCAGUAUGUAGCAUGUAAUGCAGAAGUCAGCGCCUAAGCAGCAGAGAUGAGGCCGGAGGACACAUAGAAAACAGUAGUAAUCAAUAAAUGAUUUAACUUAAUCAGUUAGAAACAGUUGCUGAGGAACCGUUUAACUGACCUUUGCACAGUAUGUAUGGGUGGGAUUUUGGGGAUAUAAGGUCUUGCAAAUGUAAGGAUCAUUGAACUUCUUCUACUGAAACUCUGUCUGAGUGGAAGGGGUUCCCAGAGCUCUGUUGUAAUAAAUUGCUAAUUUGCUGAAGAUCUAAGUAUCCUGUCUCUCUAUCAACUCUACUUCGGGCUUCCAUCAAAAGAAUCAAGGGGAACGCACUGGAGCAGUUGAGGGUAGUGCUGAUUUUCCCAACAAUUUGGAGGCACCGCUGGGAUGGAGGUUUGGAGUUAGAGUGAAUUCGGACCUCAGAGACGAUCCUGUGAACCACUAGUCCAGCUGCAGCAAUAAAAUCAGGUAAGCAGAGCCUGUUUAAUCGAAAUCUGCAGAUUGGUCUAAGCUAAAUUUUGGACACAGUGGUCUCAUUUGAUUGCCUCCAUCUAAAACAAUAGAGAGAUUGGAUCUGGGCACAUUGUAAAUAUCUAAAUUGGGGUGAAAUUUGGGGCAUUGUAUGUAGGUCUAUCGUUUUGUUUGUGGCUUGCUCGCUUGAGGGAUGAAUGGGACCAUAUAAGGGGUGAAGUACUUUUAGAGUAUGAGUGUCUAGUUUAAUUUAAAGAGUAGUUUAAAAAGUGUGAACGGGGGUCCUUAGGGAAAAGUGGGCAGUACUCCCACGAAACCACGGACGUGGCAACCCCACCUGGAUUCGGACGCGGGCCAGUAAAGCUAGGUUUUGGCGGUUCCUCGGGGUUGGUGGUCCUAGAAAUACCGAAGUUCUAUGACUGGGUUAUAGAGCGAUUCUGUGUAUGGCGUUUUGUCAGAGACAAGUAAUCUGUCUGUAUGUUUAGUUUAAAAUAUUGUAUAGCGCAAUCGGCUGCGUGCACACUGGUGCGUAGUUGUGAAGUUGCUGCAUACUAUUUUAACUGUGUGAAUGUGGUUUAAAAUAUUGUAUAGCGCAAUCGGCUGCGUGCACACUGGUGCGUAGUUGUGAAGUUGCUGCAUACUAGUUUUAACUGUGUGAAUGGGUGUGCAAGCCGAGAGGGCUUGAGUGUGAUUGGGGAGGCAGUUACAGGUAUUUGCUUCCGUCAGGGACGGCUAUUUGAGGAUAGAAGUAAGCACGGCUCGGCCGGCUGGUCAGGGACCAGGAGUACCUAGCGUUGUGUAAAAGAAAACACACAAGAGUUGUCCUAGUGCGUUUAGGAUGAUCUUGUCAUACACAGAGUAUUGCUGUACAUUUGAGCAUUAAAAGAAAAGGGGUUUGAGUCCUCUAGCAAUGUGCUUUGCUUAAUGUUGUCUGUGUCUGCGGGGUGAAAUUAAAAUUGUAAAUUAUAGUGCCUGUAAAAUUUGUAAAAUUAAGCUAAGUGAUUGUGUGUGGCAGUGAGUGAGAGAGUGAUUGUGUGUGGCAGUGAGUGAGAGAGUGAUUGUGUGUGGCAGUGAGUGAGAGAGUGAUUGUGUGUGGCAGUGAGUGAGAGAGUGAUUGGGUGGGGCAGUGUGUGUGUUUGUGUGUGGGGCAGAGAGAGUGUGUGACAGUGGAUGAGAAAGUGUGUAUGUGACAGAGUGUGUGAGAGUAGGUGAAUAUUGCAGUAAGAGGGUGUGAGCGUGUGUAUGUGACGGAUUGUGUGAGUGUGUGUAUAUUGCAGUGAGUGUGUGUGAGCGUGUGCAUGUGACAGAGGGUUUGAGAGUGUGUGUACAUUGCAGUGAGAGUGUGUGAGCAUGUGCAUGUGAUGGAGUGUGUGAGAGUGUGUAUAUUGCAAUGAGAGUGUGUGUGAGAGUGUGUAUAUUGCAGUGAGAGUGUGUGUAAGCAUGUGUGGAGCUCCGUCGGGCUCCGGUGAGAGGUAUGAGUGGAUGAAUGUACAGAGUGGUGUGUGAGAGAAAAUAAGAAGUACGGACGAGUCCCACUGCAGGGGAGGAGUCCAAGGCAGAGUAGGUGGUUAAAGUUGGGCCAAUUCACAGAAUUGGGAAAGGUUUCCUUUUGUACAUUAACAUUCUAGGAAAACACAUUAUAAAAAUAGAAAAAGGAUCAGUUCAGGAGGAAA